UAUUCACGGAUAGGCAUUUCCGAGGCUUGACGGAGCCCAUCUGCAAUAAGACCAUCUGACACACCCGGGAAAAACUAUCGAUAGAUGAUAGAAGUAAUGCAAGGAAUUCUGGUCGUCUAAUUCAUCACAAAUUAUAGUCGAUGAAACCGGGCAAAGUUUGGUUUUGCGAUGCAAUCUAAUAAAUUACUUGCAACUGGAAAGCAAACCAGCCCACCUGGAGAACAUGAAAUGGAAUUUUGUGAUUUUAUGGCUGUGAAAACAUUUGCUGUCAAAUUAGAAUACAAAAUAAAAAUUAACCAUAUUUCAUCUUGGGUGAAGUUUUCAAUUAACAAUAAUCCUCCCCAAACCAAAGAAGUUAUACAUGUAUAAUAUUGUGGACAGUGUUACCAGAGGAAGAGGAAAUAGGGAGUAUUGCCACUUCAGCAACUGAGCUAAACUGAGUGAGGCAUGGACUCAGCAUAAACAGUUGUUAUGCAUUUAUGGAGGGGAACUAAGAAAGAAACUGGACUCUUUAAACAAGUCUGAUUACUAUGAAUCACUAAAGCAGAUGACUGGCAGUCUUUUUGCACUGCUAUAGAGUGUUAUGUAUUCUUGUAUACUGUAUUGUUUGGUACAUUUUAUAUUGUACAACUUAACAUGUUCUUUUUGAUAUGUGAUAAAAAUAAGAACUUUGAUAUAUUGUUUACAUAUGGCAAAUAAAACUUACAUGAACAGGUA
This is a long non-coding RNA of Polypterus senegalus (gray bichir), 717 nucleotides long. RefSeq lists it as uncharacterized. The record is from RefSeq and is a predicted model, not a curated record. NCBI's taxonomy places the organism in Eukaryota, Metazoa, Chordata, Cladistia, Polypteriformes, Polypteridae. The transcript has 2 exons.